RNAcentral lists this small RNA (670 nucleotides) under Pan troglodytes (chimpanzee). RNAcentral's name for it is "retained intron". The record is from RNAcentral. Lineage: Eukaryota; Metazoa; Chordata; Mammalia; Primates; Hominidae.
UGGCCGAGUGCCUCACCCCCGCCAUUUAUGCCAAGCUUCGCAACAAGGUGACACCCAACGGCUACACGCUGGACCAGUGCAUCCAGACUGGAGUGGACAACCCUGGCCACCCCUUCAUAAAGACUGUGGGCAUGGUGGCUGGUGACGAGGAGUCCUAUGAGGUGUUUGCUGACCUUUUUGACCCCGUCAUCAAACUAAGACACAACGGCUACGACCCCAGGGUGAUGAAGCACACAACGGAUCUGGACGCAUCAAAGAUCACCCAAGGGCAGUUCGACGAGCAUUACGUGCUGUCUUCUCGGGUGCGCACUGGCCGCAGCAUCCGUGGGCUGAGCCUGCCGCCCGCCUGCACCCGGGCCGAGCGAAGGGAGGUAGAGAACGUGGCCAUCACUGCCCUGGAGGGCCUCAAGGGGGACCUGGCUGGCCGCUACUACAAGCUGUCCGAGAUGACGGAGCAGGACCAGCAGCGGCUCAUCGAUGCAUAAUUAUGAUAAGACAUUUCUCAUCUGGAUAAAUGAGGAGGAUCACACCAGGGUAAUCUCAAUGGAAAAAGGAGGCAAUAUGAAACGAGUAUUUGAGCGAUUCUGUCGUGGACUAAAAGAAGUAAGAUGUUAUCUGAGAUUUCUGGAUAUUUAUUAAAAUAAAAUUACCGUAUUGUUUGUUCUUGAAA